Molecule: ribosomal RNA, 462 nt
Filed under: uncultured Planctomyces sp.
Lineage: Bacteria; Pseudomonadati; Planctomycetota; Planctomycetia; Planctomycetales; Planctomycetaceae
Description: partial 16S ribosomal RNA
Source: RNAcentral
GACUACAGGGGUAUCUAAUCCCGUUUGCUCCCCUGGCUUUCGUGCCUCAGCGUCAGUUGCGAUCCAGUGUGCCGCUUUCGCCACCGGCGUUCCUUCCGAUAUCAACACAUUUCACCGCUCCACCGGAAGUUCCACACACCCCUAUCUCACUCCAGCCAUGCAGUUUAGAGCGCCAUUCCCCGGUUAAGCCGGGGGCUUUCACACCCUACUUACAUGGCCGCCUACGCACCCUUUAAGCCCAGUGAUUCCGAAUAACGUUUGCACAGUUCGUAUUACCGCGGCUGCUGGCACGAACUUAGCCCGUGCUUCCUCUGAGGCUAUGUCAAACGGAUGGGAGAACCCACCCGCAUUUCAUCCCCUCUGACAGUGGUUUACAACCCAAGGGCCUUCAUCCCACACGCGGCGUCGCUCGGUCAGGCUUGCGCCCAUUGCCGAAGAUUCUCGACUGCAGCCCCCCGUAGG